This 484-nucleotide ribosomal RNA is filed under the name uncultured bacterium. RNAcentral's name for it is "bacterial SSU rRNA". It matches the Rfam family "Bacterial small subunit ribosomal RNA", at positions 1 to 507 of the family's 1533-position model. The record is from RNAcentral.
GUUGAUCAGUGGCUCGAGGACGAACGCUGGCGGCGCGCCUAACACAUGCAAGUCGAACGGUGAAGAGGAGCUUGCUCCUCGGAACCAGUGGCGGACGGGUGAGUAACACGUGAGCAACCUGGCUCUAAGAGGGGGACAACAGUUGGAAACGACUGCUAAUACCGCAUAACGUAUCGGGAUGGCAUCUUCCUGAUACCAAAGAUUUUAUCGCUUAGAGAUGGGCUCGCGUCUGAUUAGAUAGUUGGCGGGGUAACGGCCCACCAAGUCGACGAUCAGUAGCCGGACUGAGAGGUUGAACGGCCACAUUGGGACUGAGACACGGCCCAGACUCCUACGGGAGGCAGCAGGUGGGGGAUAUUGGACAAGUGGGGGCAACCCUGAUCCAGCGACGCCGCGUGAGGGAAGUAAGGUUUUCGGAUUGUAAACCUCUGUUGACGGAGAAAAAAUGAUGGUAUCCGUUUAGAAAGCCACGGCUAACUACGUG